This is a long non-coding RNA of Asparagus officinalis (garden asparagus), 877 nucleotides long. RefSeq lists it as uncharacterized. NCBI's taxonomy places the organism in Eukaryota, Viridiplantae, Streptophyta, Magnoliopsida, Asparagales, Asparagaceae. The record is from RefSeq and is a predicted model, not a curated record. The transcript is spliced from 4 exons.
CCCGAUCCUAAGCAGUUCGCUGAUGAGGCUUGGGGAGUUGGGAAAUUGAGGCACAGGAGGCUGGCGAGCCUGGUCGGGUACUGUUGUGAUGGAGACGAGAGUACUUCUUCUUGUUGCUGAGUACAUGCCAAAUGACACUCUUUGCAAGCAUUUGUCUCACUGGGAAAAUCAAACGAUUGAAUGAGCUAUGCGUUUAAGGGUGCCGUAGUACUAUAUCGCUGAAGCCUUGGAUUAUUGUAGUGCUGAAGGACGGCCUUUGUAUCAUGACGUUAAUGCCUGUCGAGUUCUCUUUGAUGAGGAUGGUGAUCCACGUCUUUCAUGUUUUGGUCUUAUGAAAAACAGCAGAGAUUGGGAAAAGCUAUGGCACAAAUCUUGCUUACACACCUCCAGAGUCCAGAGUAUUUAAGAAAUAGUAUACUUUUAUUAAACAGGAGUGUCAAUGUUGCUGAAGUACUUAAAUAAUAGAUCGAAGGGUACACCUGCAGGUUGUGCAAAACCUUGAUGUUGUUGUGCAUACUGCUUCUCUUUUUAUUGUUUGUAUAUUAAAAAAUGAUUAUGGUGUUCGGCAAAGGGUAUUAAGCUUUUUAACAUUUUGAUCAUUUAACCCAUGAAAGAUGCAGAUAAUUUCCUUAAUUCAGGACAUGCCUAAUAAACAAGUACGUAUAGGCAGUCUACAUCAUUUAGUAGUCUCCCUCAUGCUUUCUUCCUUGACAUGAAGGAUAACUUUCCAGUCCAAAUUGUCGCUAGUGUUCCGUAGUUUAGUAAAACAUGUGCAUGGGACUAGGGGUGUGCAACGGUCGGUUCGGUUCGGUUUUAAAUCAUUUCUUACACAAGCAUACUGCACCUUAUAUAUGUUCUGGUUUUGUAUAAUCCAGCA